UCCCACCAGUGGCUAAGUGAGGUCACAUCCCACCAGUGGCUAAGUGAGGUCACGUCCCGCCAGUGGCUAAGUGAGGUCACGUCCCGCCAGUGGCUAAGUGAGGUCACGUCCCGCCAGUGGCUAAGUGAGGUCACGUCCCGCCAGUGGCUAAGUGAGGUCACGUCCCGCCAGUGGCUAAGUGAGGUCACGUCCCGCCAGUGGCUAAGUGAGGUCACGUCCCGCCAGUGGCUAAGUGAGGUCACGUCCCGCCAGUGGCUAAGUGAGGUCACGUCCCGCCAGUGGCUAAGUGAGGUCACGUCCCGCCAGUGGCUAAGUGAGGUCACGUCCCGCCAGUGGCUAAGUGAGG
Oncorhynchus keta (chum salmon) is the source of this 346-nucleotide long non-coding RNA. RefSeq lists it as uncharacterized. The transcript is spliced from 3 exons. The record is from RefSeq and is a predicted model, not a curated record. NCBI's taxonomy places the organism in Eukaryota, Metazoa, Chordata, Actinopteri, Salmoniformes, Salmonidae.